UGGUGGCGAGUGGCGAACGGGUGAGUAACAUAUUGGAACGUACCGAGUAAUGGGGGAUAACUAUCCGAAAGGAUAGCUAAUACCGCAUACGCUUUAAGAAGGAAAGUGGGGGCUCUUCGGACCUCACGUUAUUCGAGCGGCCAAUACCUGAUUAGCUAGUUGGCGGGGUAAAAGCCCACCAAGGCGACGAUCAGUAGCGGGUCUGAGAGGAUGAUCCGCCACACUGGGACUGAGACACGGCCCAGACUCC
RNAcentral lists this ribosomal RNA (250 nucleotides) under uncultured Kingella sp. Its description in RNAcentral is "partial 16S ribosomal RNA". It matches the Rfam family "Bacterial small subunit ribosomal RNA", at positions 86 to 339 of the family's 1533-position model. The record is from RNAcentral. Lineage: Bacteria; Pseudomonadati; Pseudomonadota; Betaproteobacteria; Neisseriales; Neisseriaceae.